RNAcentral lists this ribosomal RNA (483 nucleotides) under uncultured bacterium. RNAcentral describes it as "partial 16S ribosomal RNA". It matches the Rfam family "Bacterial small subunit ribosomal RNA", at positions 28 to 507 of the family's 1533-position model. The record is from RNAcentral.
GACGAACGCUGGCGGCGUGCUUAACACAUGCAAGUCGAACGCUGAAGCUCAGCUUUUGUUGGGUGGAUGAGUGGCGAACGGGUGAGUAACACGUGAGUAACCUGCCUCCUUCUUUGGGAUAACGCCCGGAAACGGGUGCUAAUACUGGAUAUUCACUGGUCUUCGCAGGGGGGUUGGUGGAAGGGGCUUUUCUGGUGGGGGAUGGGGUCGCGGCCUAUCAGCUUGUUGGUGUGGUGAUGGCCUACCAAGGGUAUGACGGGUCGGCGGGCUGGGAGGGUGACUGGGCACAUGGCGACUGACAUUGGGACUAGACUCCGACGCGGAGCAGCAGUGGGGAAAACUGUAGAAUGGGCGGAAGCAUGAGGCAGCGCCGGCGCGUGAGGGACGGAGGCCGUCGGGUUGUGAUCCGCGUUCGCUCACGGUUAAGCCGCAACAAUGGCGGUAGUGAGGGUAGUGGGUAAAGAAGCGCCGGCUAACUACGUG